Molecule: ribosomal RNA, 233 nt
Filed under: uncultured bacterium
Lineage: Bacteria
Description: partial 16S ribosomal RNA
Rfam family: Bacterial small subunit ribosomal RNA
Source: RNAcentral
CGGGUGAGUAACGCGUGAGUAACCUGCCUUUCAGAGGGGGAUAACGUUCUGAAAAGAACGCUAAUACCGCAUAAGAUUGUAGUUUCGCAUGGAGCAGCAAUCAAAGGAGCAAUCCGCUGAAAGAUGGACUCGCGUCCGAUUAGAUAGUUGGCGGGGUAACGGCCCACCAAGUCGACGAUCGGUAGCCGGACUGAGAGGUUGAUCGGCCACAUCGGGACUGAGACACGGCCCAG